UACGUAGGGGGCAAGCGUUGUCCGGAAUCAUUGGGCGUAAAGAGCGUGUAGGCGGCUUGGUAAGUCCGCUGUGAAAGUCCAGGGCUCAACCCUGGAAUGCCGGUGGAAACUGUCAAGCUAGAGUCCGGAAGAGGCGAGUGGAAUUCCUGGUGUAGCGGUGAAAUGCGCAGAUAUCAGGAGGAACACCAAUGGCGAAGGCAGCUCGCUGGGACGGUACUGACGCUGAGACGCGAAAGCGUGGGGAGCAAACAGG
This 253-nucleotide ribosomal RNA is filed under the name uncultured Conexibacter sp. RNAcentral's name for it is "partial 16S ribosomal RNA". It matches the Rfam family "Bacterial small subunit ribosomal RNA", at positions 524 to 776 of the family's 1533-position model. The record is from RNAcentral. Lineage: Bacteria; Bacillati; Actinomycetota; Thermoleophilia; Solirubrobacterales; Conexibacteraceae.